Long non-coding RNA from Prionailurus viverrinus (fishing cat), 3608 nucleotides. RefSeq lists it as uncharacterized. The record is from RefSeq and is a predicted model, not a curated record. NCBI's taxonomy places the organism in Eukaryota, Metazoa, Chordata, Mammalia, Carnivora, Felidae. The transcript is spliced from 2 exons.
UUUCCCAUAGAAACCACUUCAGCUUCGGCGGCCCUCCAUGGCGGCUUUAUUAAGGGAGCCAUCUGCAGGCUUUCCUGGCUUUCCUGACAAUCUGUCGUGCUGUUCCCCGCUUCCAGUGCAAACACUGUUCAUUGUGUGGGAGGCUCCAGCCGGCCGUCGGGAGGGGACAGCCUUCCCUCCCCGCUCGAGUAGCACAGCUGGGCUCUUUCUCUCCUGUUCUGUGGAUGCUGGCCCUUCACCGGGCAGGUAGGGGCAGAGCCCGAAGCUCGCCGGAUGGGCCUCCCCCGUGCCUCGGAUGCUGUGCGUGGGUCUGGCCCUCAGCGAUGGCACCUAAACUUACCUAAGCCCACAGUGAAAAAUGGCUUUCUCAUCUCAGCUUUGUUUUCUCUGUCAGAUUCCUCACUUGCCCAGAGGCAGGGCCGACCCGUGGUGCCACGAGAACCGGAUUGGAUCUUCCCAAUGCUCCAGGGUCCUGUGAGGGCUGAGUCUUAACACAGUUCCUCCAGGAGGGAGGGGACUCUUGGCUCAGCCCCGAAUUAAUUCAUCUUCUAAAUGGAAAUGUCAAAGCCUGGCAAACAUUCCUGCUAAUGAUUCUGGUGAGGGGGUAUUCACGGGCGGCGAACAGUAGGCCACGUGAAAAUGGAUUUUGCCCGGGAAGCCGGGCUCUGUCUCUCUCAAGGGAGAAACCCUGAUAACCUAAUCUCAAUUCUGCAGCGGUUUCUGGAGGGCCGCCUAAGGAGUGGAAUUUUUUUUUCUUGUCAUUUCAUUAGUUCUGAAUAAGGGAAGGUGAUUCAGCUCCGGGCCCCGAGGGCAGGAAGCAGCAGCAGGGUCGCUUCAGGAGAGGGUUUCCGAGAAAGGGAGUUUCCAGAUCCGAAGAAGUCCGUGAGAAACCAGGAGGGAGGGGUACCGAGUGGCCCAGCCAAGCAGGAGGACACCAGAGGGCCAUCUUCCCUCUGUGCCUGUCAUCCGAGGGGUGCACCGCCUGGUGGAUCCCCAGCGCCCCCAGGUCGCCUCUUGCCCCCUCCCCCCCACUCCAUGGCAGAUGCCGUCUCCACCUUGCCUGGGACGAGCUAGGAAUUCUCCCACAGACCCUGGGAGCCAAGCGCCCCUGACAAGCAGCCUGUCCCCUGGCAAUUACUAACCAGUUGUCUGUAGUUUGGUCAUUUCAAGAAUGUUAGGGACAUGGAAAUACAGUUGAUAAGCUUUCAAGAUUGGUUUUUUCACUAUGAAUAAUGAAUACUCUUAGGCUUCUUCUAAAUUUUCAUGUAUCAAUGGUUCUUUUAUUUAUUAAGUAGUCAAUUUAGAGGAAAUGCAUGUGUGUGGGGGGAGGGGCAGAGGGAGAGAAUCCCAAGGAGGCUCCGCCCUUGCCAGUACCGAGUCCGAGACUCACAAACUGAGAUGGUGACCUGAGCCGAAAUCAAGAGUCAGGUGUUUAACCGCCUGAGCUAUCCAGGUGCCCCAACAUCAUUUUUUAUUAAACAUAAAAAUUUCACCUUUUGGCUGUUGUUAGAGAAUUUAAGCAAUGGGUGGGUGGUUGCAGUAAAUGACCAACCCAAAGAUUCCUUGGUGAAGGAUACUCGUCACGUUUCAGAUCAUAUACUGUUUAUAGCAUGCAGUUAAGUUUUCUAACUUGGGGGGAAGCCGACUUGGCUAUAUACGAAUCCUCAACUAUCCCACCUUUCUUGGUUACGUGCGCCGUGAGAGCAGGGCCGGGUCAGUCUGGCCAUCGGAUUCCCUGCUGAUCCUGGCACAGCUCCUUGCACGAGGCAGGUGGUGACCAACACCUGGUGCGUGGAUGACUCCUUCGGAUGUGGUGCCACACACACGUCCCAGGUAGCCCACUGGCUACCACUUGGAAGGUGCUGGCGGCAGAGGACGUUUUUAUCGCAGGGAGACGAGUCUAUAGAAUCAAGAGGACCCGCCUUGUCCAGACCCCCGACUCAGGUUAACUGAACUAGUGUUCGGCAGUUGACAUGGUAAGAGAAUGCCGGCUUCUGGUUUCCCUGCUCCCAACCAGGUUUCCAAGUCAGCCCAGCCCGGUGUUGGCUAACUGGGCAUCACUGUGCGAGGCAGGCUCCGAGGACCUUUCCCGAGCGCUGUGGCCCGGUGGCUGUGUGAACAUCCAGAAUGAAGCGGGAUGAUCAGGUAUGAAGGUUUGGCUUUUUACUGAAAGGUUAUUUUUCCCACCUGGGACCAUUUCUUCUGGUACCCUCUGUGUGUGCCGUUCCUGUUGUGAGAUCUGGGGAAAGUAAACUGUGCCAGGAGUUGAAAUCUGCCUCUGGAGCCGGUUUUGUGUCAUCCCACUAAGAUGUUUAGCCAUCAGCACCGUGAUUAUGCGUAUUCAUCUCUGUGUCGAUGGGCGGCUCCCUAGGAAGAUCUAUUUUCAGGACCACAUGUUUACAUUGCUGAGGGACAGGAGGUGCAAGAUCAAAGCCCCGUGGCCCAGCAGGGCCUGCCGUGGGGUGGGGAAUGGGGACAGAGUGGAGAAUGCACUUGGCUAAUGACAGAAGUUGCUACGCUCCUUUUUGGGUGUAAUGGAAAUUGCCCAAAGGUUGGAAAAUGAGGGAGCAGCGUCGCCACACAAACAGGUUUAAACUGAACACUAGGGACGGAGGACACACGUGCCUGACUCUGGCCAAAGGCGGCAGGAAGAGCAGGCAGUUACCGGCUGCAGGUGCAGCUGCAGGAUGGUGUAAGGGCCUGGAAGCUUCUCUGCCCUGCGCUCUGGUUAUAGGGGCGGCGGGAGAGGGCACCUGUGCAUGAGAAGGGUCCCUUCACCUUUGUGACUCUCUUCGCAGCCCUGUGCUGUCUUCUCCGGGUCUGAUUGCUUCCUGUGGUUUUUCCUUCUGCUGCUCGAAAUGCUUGCUAUUCGUUUAACCUAGUUCAUCCUUUGUAUUAACGGUGACUAAAUGGUCACUCUGGAGGCCGGAGGACCUGGCUUCCAGCCUUGGCUCAGCCACCUGCUAGUAGUGUGACCUGACUUCUCUGUUCCUCAAGUUGCCUUGUGUGUAGAAUGGAGAGAAUGGAGUUUAGGAUUGUUGGAAGAACUGAAUGAGUUAACACACGGAAAGCACGUGUCAUCUGAGGUGCCAGCUGUUACCGUGGAACAGCAAUUAGGUAUGUGGCGGGACCGGAUUUUAGCCACGGAGCAUUUGUUUUUUGUUUUUGCCCGUUUCCUGUUUUCGUCCUCUGAGAUACAGAAGUAGCACCAGUAAGUUUUUUCUGCCAUAUUUCAGGAUUGGUUAAAAACCACCACCACAAAAACGUGUUGGGUUCAGUAAGCCACGGUCUCCCGAGGAUGUCACCCAGGGAUGCGGAAGUGAAACAAGCUGACGUUUCCAGAGACGGGAAGGAGCACAUGCUGAUCUUGAUGAUUCAGUUACGCUAAUAGGCAAGUAUAUAUGCCUGGCAUUUAUUGAUGCUCUCUGAUAAUUAUGUACAGAACAUACUGAAAAGUGGAUUGCUUGGAAUCUAGGUCUCUUCUUUUGAAGAGAACUCCUUUGAGGUUUUUUUUUUUGAACUGUAAACAAAAGGAAAGAGAUAUACGUGGACAUAUACCUAUACACAUAGAGAUAUACACUGAGUAUUUUCAAUGUGGUGUAUAUCUU